Molecule: unclassified non-coding RNA, 341 nt
Filed under: Hevea brasiliensis (rubber tree)
Lineage: Eukaryota; Viridiplantae; Streptophyta; Magnoliopsida; Malpighiales; Euphorbiaceae
Source: RNAcentral
GGCCCUUCAGAAUGCAGGCUAUGCGCUGCUCUCAUAAAUCCAGUGACAAGAUUAAAAAGUUUUCUUUGCAUGUUGGUCUCCGACUUCCAACAUGAUGCUCAGUUCCCAAAUUUGCAAACACCCAUCGCUCUUAAGUUAGUUGUGCAGCCACCCUUAACCAGUGCAAGUUGUGGCCAAAAAGAUCACUCAAAUGCACAACACAAAAAUGAUCCUACCUUACAACUUGAACAAGGCUGCUUUAUUAUAAUGGUUUCCCUUCAUCUUUUCCAUAUAUACGUUGAAGUUCACGAGUAGCAGCUAGAAAGGACUCUUUCCAAAGUCGAAAGGACUUCUGGUUGAUA